ACCCCACUGCUAUCGGGAUAGGACUAAGACAUGCAAGUCAAGCGCUUUCUAGCUAAUGUGAGAGCGCGGCGUACAGCUCAGUAACACGUGGCCAACCUGCCCUUGGGACGGGAACACCCCCGGGAAACUGGGGUUAAUUCCCGAUAGGUGAAGAAGUCUGGAAUGAAUCUUCGCUCAAAAGACGUUUAUGUCAUGCUCAUACUCGUCGCCCAGGGAUGGGGCCGCGACCGAUCAGGUUGUUGGUGAGGCAAUGGCUCACCAAGCCUUUUACCGGUGCGGGCCGUGAGAGCGGGAGCCCGGAGAUGGGCACUGAGACAAAGGCCCAGGCCCCACGGGGCGCAGCAGUCGCGAAAACUUUGCAAUACACGAAAGUGUGACAGGGCUAUCCCGAGUGCCAUCCGCUGAGGAAGGCUUUUACCCAGUAUAAAUAGCUGGGAGAAUAAGGAGAGGGCAAGUCUGGUGUCAGCCGCCGCGGUAAUACCAGCUCUCCGAGUAGUGUGGAUGUUUAUUGGGCCUAAAGCAUCCGUAGCUUGCUAGACAAGUCCCCUGUUAAAUCCACCGAUUCAAUCGUUGGAUUGCGGGGGAUACUGUUUGGCUAGGGGGCGGGAGAGGUCGACGGUAUUUCCGGGGUACGGGUGAAAUCCUAUAAUCCCGGGAAGACCACCAGUGGCGAAAGGCUGUCGACUAGAACGCGCCCGACGGUGAGGGAUGAAAGCUGGGGGAGCGAACCGGAUUAGAUACCCGGGUAGUCCCAGCUGUAACGAUGCA
RNAcentral lists this ribosomal RNA (768 nucleotides) under uncultured archaeon. RNAcentral's name for it is "bacterial SSU rRNA". It matches the Rfam family "Archaeal small subunit ribosomal RNA", at positions 21 to 764 of the family's 1478-position model. The record is from RNAcentral.